CAGGUGGUCAGGUAGAGAAUACCAAGGCGCUUGAGAGAACUCGGGUGAAGGAACUAGGCAAAAUGGUGCCGUAACUUCGGGAGAAGGCACGCUGACACGUAGGUGAAGUGAUUUACUCAUGGAGCUGAAGUCAGUCGAAGAUACCAGCUGGCUGCAACUGUUUAUUAAAAACACAGCACUGUGCAAACACGAAAGUGGACGUAUACGGUGUGACGCCUGCCCGGUGCCGGAAGGUUAAUUGAUGGGGUCAGCGCAAGCGAAGCUCCUGAUCGAAGCCCCGGUAAACGGCGGCCGUAACUAUAACGGUCCUAAGGUAGCGAAAUUCCUUGUCGGGUAAGUUCCGACCUGCACGAAUGGCGUAAUGAUGGCCAGGCUGUCUCCACCCGAGACUCAGUGAAAUUGAACUCGCUGUGAAGAUGCAGUGUACCCGCGGCAAGACGGAAAGACCCCGUGAACCUUUACUAUAGCUUGACACUGAACAUUGAGCCUUGAUGUGUAGGAUAGGUGGGAGGCUUUGAAGUGUGGACGCCAGUCUGCAUGGAGCCGACCUUGAAAUACCACCCUUUAAUGUUUGAUGUUCUAACGUGGACCCGUGAUCCGGGUUGCGGACAGUGUCUGGUGGGUAGUUUGACUGGGGCGGUCUCCUCCUAAAGAGUAACGGAGGAGCACGAAGGUUGGCUAAUCCUGGUCGGACAUCAGGAGGUUAGUGCAAUGGCAUAAGCCAGCUUGACUGCGAGCGUGACGGCGCGAGCAGGUGCGAAAGCAGGUCAUAGUGAUCCGGUGGUUCUGAAUGGAAGGGCCAUCGCUCAACGGAUAAAAGGUACUCCGGGGAUAACAGGCUGAUACCGCCCAAGAGUUCAUAUCGACGGCGGUGUUUGGCACCUCGAUGUCGGCUCAUCACAUCCUGGGGCUGAAGUAGGUCCCAAGGGUAUGGCUGUUCGCCAUUUAAAGUGGUACGCGAGCUGGGUUUAGAACGUCGUGAGACAGUUCGGUCCCUAUCUGCCGUGGGCGCUGGAGAACUGAGGGGGGCUGCUCCUAGUACGAGAGGACCGGAGUGGACGCAUCACUGGUGUUCGGGUUGUCAUGCCAAUGGCACUGCCCGGUAGCUAAAUGCGGAAGAGAUAAGUGCUGAAAGCAUCUAAGCACGAAACUUGCCCCGAGAUGAGUUCUCCCUGAGACUUUAGGUCUCCUGAAGGAACGUUGAAGACGACGACGUUGAUAGGCCGGGUGUGUAAGCGCAGCGAUGCGUUGAGCUAACCGGUACUAAUGAACCGUGAGGCUUAACCUUACAACGCCGAAG
Molecule: ribosomal RNA, 1300 nt
Filed under: Salmonella enterica
Lineage: Bacteria; Pseudomonadati; Pseudomonadota; Gammaproteobacteria; Enterobacterales; Enterobacteriaceae
Also listed under: 3 other names
Description: partial 23S ribosomal RNA
Rfam family: Bacterial large subunit ribosomal RNA
Source: RNAcentral